RNAcentral lists this long non-coding RNA (204 nucleotides) under Elaeis guineensis (African oil palm). RNAcentral's name for it is "long non-coding RNA (EGUI_LNC006598)". The record is from RNAcentral. Lineage: Eukaryota; Viridiplantae; Streptophyta; Magnoliopsida; Arecales; Arecaceae.
UAAGCUGAUGCUACUCGGGACUCAACUGCAAAACCAACAGGAGUUAUAUGAAUUUCAAGGCAAUGCUAAAUUUAGAUUGUCAUACCACAGCUUCAAACUGUGAGAUUGUUAGGAUUUGACGCUUCGAGAUUCAGCCCACAUUGAGCCCACAGCGAGGUUCGCAGCGAAAAACGGAGUCAAACGAGACCAAGAUCACCUGAAACG